AAGCCUGAUCCCGCAAUGCCGCGUGCAGGAUGAAGGCCUUCGGGUUGUAAACUGCUUUGGUACGGAACGAAAAGCCUCUCUCUAAUACAGGGGGGUGAUGACGGUACCGUAAGAAUAAGCACCGGCUAACUACGUGCCAGCAGCCGCGGUGAUACGUAGGGUGCGAGCGUUGUCCGGAAUUAUUGGGCGUAAAGAGCUUGUAGGCGGUCCGUCACGUCGGAAGUGAAAACUCAGGGCUUAACCCUGAGCCUGCUUUCGAUACGAGCAGGCUUGAGGGAUGUAGGGGAGAGCGGAAUUCCUGGUGGAGCGCUGGAAUGCGCAGAUAUCAGGAGGAACACCAGUGGCGAAGGCGGUUCUCUGGACAUUUCCUGACGCUGAGAGGCGAAAGCGUGGGGAGCAAACA
RNAcentral lists this ribosomal RNA (403 nucleotides) under uncultured Propionicimonas sp. Its description in RNAcentral is "bacterial SSU rRNA". It matches the Rfam family "Bacterial small subunit ribosomal RNA", at positions 379 to 774 of the family's 1533-position model. Lineage: Bacteria; Bacillati; Actinomycetota; Actinomycetes; Propionibacteriales; Nocardioidaceae. The record is from RNAcentral.